This 10537-nucleotide long non-coding RNA is filed under the name Triticum aestivum (bread wheat). RNAcentral describes it as "long non-coding RNA (TAES_LNC020062)". The record is from RNAcentral. Lineage: Eukaryota; Viridiplantae; Streptophyta; Magnoliopsida; Poales; Poaceae.
UCCGGGUACUCUAUCGCAGACAAACAAACAAGCAUACAAUAAGUACUCAUCUAAUGCACAGGUAAAACUCAAAUAAGAGAUUUAACCAGAAGGUUCAACUUAAGAACUCCGGUUGGAAAAAGAAAUCAAUCGAACGAAGCAAAGAAAGUCAAACGGCGAAAGAAAACAACUUUGUUCUAGUAAUCUGAAUCUAAUUCAAAUUUUACAGUAGCAAAAACUUGUUUGAGUUGAUUAUUCGAAUAGAGGGUUUCGAGACGAAACUCGAGGCGCUUGAAUCGCCUGAUUCCGAUAAACGAGCGAAAAGAUAAACUGAAAUGAAAAUCAGAUCAGGAAUCGCGAUCAGAAAAAUCGCGGAUUUAAUCCGACGAAAAAGGAAAACGACGAACGGAUUUUUUUUAAAUGGCACGGAAAACGAGGCGGCGGCGAACCUCGGGCGGCGCGCGGCUCCGGCGGGGCGGCGGCGGCAGCUGGGCUGGGGCGCUAGGGUUAUGGGGCUGGGGCGGCUGGGCUCUCGGGCCCCGGGGCGGCGCCUUAUAAAGGCCUCGGCCAGGCGGAGUCCUGGCCGAGUACGGCCCAAAGACGGUUCCUUUUUUUUAUGCUCGGAAGAAAAAUAAAAAGAAAUACUAAACGGACUCCAAAAAUCCUGAAAUAAAUUUUACCGGGCUUCUAGAAUCAAGCCCGACAAAGUGAACAUUUAUUUGGGACCUAAAUGCAAUUUUGAAAAAUGCGCAUUUUUCCUAAAUUCAAAUAAAAAUAUCAAAAAAACUCCGAAAUUUUUUAUUAGACCUUCAAUAUUUCUAUAUUUUGGGAAAGUCAUUUUAGUCCCUCUCGCAUAUUUUUGUAAUAGAAAUAAUUGAUGAUAAAAUAAAUAAAAUCAAAUGAUCCUAUGCUCAAAAUUUGAGAAAACUCAAAUGUGAGAAUAACGAAAUCCCCAACUCUCUCCGUGGGUCCUUGAGUUGCUUAGAAUUUUCUAGGAUCAAAACCCAAAAGCAAAUAAAAUAUGAUAUGCAUGAUGAUCUAAUGUAUAACAUUCCAAAUUGGAAUUUUGGGAUGUUACAGUUACCAAAGAUUGGUUUGAUGAAAACCACAAGGGAGCGAAAACCAUGAAAAUAGAUAGGUGGAGGGUGUAAGGUUGGACAAAGGGAUGGUGAGGAGAAAAUUAAGUGAAAGAUAUAACCUUAGAUUCUUUUCAAGUAGUGGAGAUUUUUCAGCCCUUUCUUAAAUUGGUAAAUAAGUAUGUGCCCAUGAUUAAUCUACUUUAUUGGGUUACCAAAUGAUUGGAUUGAUCUAGUUUAUUGGGUUACCAAAGAUUGGUUGGAUGAAACAUGAAAAAGAGGAAAAAAUCGAUGGAGGGUGGAAGGUUGGAGGAGGGAUGGUUGGGGAGAAAACUGAGUGAAAAUGGAUCCUUAGGUUCUUUUUAAGCAGUGGAGAUAGAGAUAAACAACUUUUUGUUACAAAAGCAUGGAGUGCACAAUAAAUAUAAAAAGGGGGACAUAUGUGGUUGUGAAAAAAGCAACAUACUAAGUGAUGACUCACAAGUAUAGGGGAUCGUGAUAUUCUUCGAGGGAAGUAUUCCCAAAUUUAUUGAUUAGUAGGGGAUUCAAAGAAUAUUUGUAAGCUUUAGUAGUUGAGUUGCCAAUUCCUGGAAAGAUAACUUUCUUACAACGAUUUAUUAGUACUCCCUCUGUUCCUAAAUAUUUGUCUUUCUAGAGAUUUCAACAACUGACUACAUACAGAUUAAAAUGAGUUUACCUACACUCUAAAAUAUGUCCAUAUACAUCCGUAUGUGGUAGUCUAUUUGAAAUCUCUAAAAAGACAAAUAUUUAGGAACGGAGGGAGUAGUAUAGCAAUAUGAUAGUAAUAGUGAUACUAACAGCAACAGUAAUAGUAACAAGUUUGCAAAGCAGUAACAAAGUGCAGUAGUAGUGAUUUUAGCGAAAACAAUAAUAGCAAAAGCAUAGUCAUGAAGUAACACUAAAAAAAUACACUUUCGUGAUGAUACGUGUUUGUCACGGUAGGUCACGUUUUCUGUCAUGCAUGUACAUCCAUGACAAAUUUAUGACAGAAUCAAGAUAGUCAUACCUGAGCUGUCGUAGAAGUGUUCCAUGACAUUACCAAAAUUAUCAUCACGGAAGUGUCCACUUCCAUGACGGUAAAUCGCGCAUCACAGAAGUGCUUUCGUCAAGGGUGACCGACACGUGGCAUCCACCAUAACAGAACAUCGAUAACCCGUUAACAACCCAGACCAAUGGGAUUUUCCAUGUGUAAAAUCAUCAUUGGCUGGAGGAAACACCUGUCGGCUCACCGUUGGGACAGAUGUCAUUCACUUAUUGGACCCAAAGCGCCUAUGAUACUCGACAUGUGGCACGGCCCAACAGAGGCCGAUUCCUGUGAAAAGGCCGGUCCGCUUGACUUGGUCAAAAGGUUGAGGGCCGGCCCACGGCAAGCCCGUUAAUGGCCUAUUCGCAUAUAGCCCAUUUACAUCCCGCUAACCCAGGGCCCGUUUACGGCCUAUCCGAAUUAGGCCCAGUAGCAUCAUAUGGGCUGUCCAAUAUAAUUCCGGCCCGUUUUAACUUCCGGCCCAUGUAUGGCCCAUGAUGUCUUUUGGCCCAUAUGAGGCCCUUAGUAACCCUCGGCCCAUUAAUGGUCCAUGGUAAAACUGGCCUGUAAUGAACAGUGUAUCACUUUAUACCCAUUAACGACCCAUUAUUCCGUUGGGCCAUUUCCAGUCCAUGUUGUCUUUCGGCCUUCUCAGGGCCCAUUUAUUCUUGGGCUCAUUUCCGGCAUUCGUUUACUUUCGGCCCGUUACUGUCAUUUUCUGCUUGUGGGCCAAAUACAGCCCGUGGUUAUAGUUGGUCUGUUUGUGGCCCGUUAAUACGUUGGGCCAUUUUCAUAGCGUCAUUAAAUACAGCCUAUUAACGACGGCCCGUUAUGGUCGGCCCAUGAACAAAUGACUUCAACUCUAGCCCAUUUACGACCAUAAUGUGGUCUGUUAUUGGCCCAUGUUUGGCCAACCGAUCAUACGGCCCAUAGAAGGCCCAUUGAUGAUACGGCUCGUAGAAGGCCUAUUGUGUAUACGCCCUGUAGAAGGCCCAUUGUUCCUACGGCCCGUAGGAGGCCCAUGUUAACUACAGUAAAUAUGUAGCCCAUUGUUAAUGUGGCCUAGUUUUUAAAAAAUAGGUUAUUGCAGCCACUAGCAAACCGCGGAAAAGAACUGCACUGACUACAAGAAAACAAAUAAACAAGACAACGGAAAUAAAUAAGCAAGCAACUUACGCUAGGCUAUCAUGGCUAUUACACAUAUUACAUCCACUGGGCAUCAAAGUUCACCACAAGUGCAAAUAUAGGGAACAAAGCAGCAUAUAAACGCCGCAAAAAAACAAGUCCAGAACUGAAACCACUUCAGAAGAGCUCAAGAAACAAUAUCAUGGGCACCCAUAAUGCUGGCAAGAUGCUUAGCAAGCUUAUUAACUUUCUCUUGUUUGGUGCUUAAAUCCUCCAGCACUUGCUAUUGCACCAGAAAGUAAAUCUGAAUUCUGCAGGGACUUCCUCAGUCCUUCGGCUUCCUGUCGCAUAACAUCUGAUCGAUGUCUUUUAACUUGAAGUUGAGACUCAAGAAGCCGAACUGAUUCAGGCAGCGAGUUCGAAGAGCUGGUGCCAGCAGUAGUAGCCAGUAACUCGAACACUACAUCAAGACAGGACUUUGGGGUUGUCUCAGUGUCUUCAAUAUAGUUUUUAUCAACUUUCUUGGAGAACCACGGGGAUGUCUCACUAUCUUGAACCUGAUUUGCAUUAAUUCCUUUACCAUUGCAUAACGGGGGUACUCUUCUCCAAUAUUUUAUCCGCGUUCUAAAGGAGAAACACACAAACACAUCACAGGUUUACAAUGAAGUAUAUGAAACUCAUUUUGGUAAACCAGUUCAGUAGUAAGGUGGACAGGAUAACAUCAUGAAACAAACAUAUAUCUAUGUAAUAUGAUCACUGUAUGGUCUAUAUCAUUCUAGUUUAUGUUGCCAAAUCAAGAUAGAUAUAGUUCGAAUCAUAUCUAUUUAAGACAAAGUAGCAUAGAAAGAAUAUAAGUGUGGGAAACUACACAGCAAUAACAACACUUGUAAUGUGCAUUGCGUGAGAACAUAACUGUUUAUUCAAUUGAAACUGAAAUCAACAUAGAGCAAGUUACAACAGCAAACACGUUAAAGAAACAGGUUUAAAACAUACCUGUUGCGCCAUUGGAGUUUCAAUUGCAUCCUUCAAAUUUGAAAUUAGUUGGUAUGAGUAGAUACAGUGAUGCAAGAGCAAAGUAGUAUGAACCAUAGCUAGGGAACCUGACCUGAGAACAAUUCUUCUUCUACUUUAAGCGUUGACUUGGGGUUCGGAGUUGUGGUCCUCGUGCUUUGGGCACUACAGUUGCCUUACUAACUACUCAUGUUUGGGUGCUCUGUGGUGGAGACGGUGCUGUGUCAAUGGGAACUGGGUUACUAUCUCCUGGGGUUGGGGUUAGAAGGGGUGUAGCUCGUUCUCUUUCGAACUAGGUAGGGGUACAAUCUGCGUGAGUCUGGGUUAUGUGUGGUGGGGCUGGUUCUUGGGCAAGUACAAAUGUGGUUCUAUCGCCAUCAACAGGUAGCACGAUCUUUUCUAAAGACCGUGUUUUUUACUCCCACAGAUACUGCCAUCACCCCAUCCAAUUGAAAUGGCUGAUAAAGAAGAAAAGUAAUUGAAUGUACAGACAUUGUAAGAUAGACAGGUGCAAUGGAUACUAGGGAAGAAAACAGGGCAUGAAAUAAUUCAUAUUUAUGUUGUCUAACCAAACAGAAUAGCAAGACAUAAUUUCAAAUAUAUGAUGGCUAAUUAAACAGGAUAGCAUCACACAAUUUCGCAUGUAUGAUGGCUAACUAAACAGGAUAGAAUGACAUACUUCAAAAUAUGAUGACCAUGUAAAUAGGAUGACAUGAUAUAACUAUACGAUGUGUCUAUUAAAGUGGUUGGCAUGCCAUAAAUCACAAACAUGCCGUCGAUGGAAACAUGAUGGCAUGAUAUAAUUCAUGGAUAGAAUGACAUAAUUCAAAAUAUGAUGACUAUGUGAACAGGAUGAGAUGAUAUAACUAUAUUAUGUCUUUAGAAAAUGGGUUGGCAUGCCAUAAUUCAGAUACAUGCUGUCUAUGUAAACAUCAUUGCAUGAUAUAAUUCAAAUAUAUGAUUUAUAUACUAAGGAGUGAGCAGAGGGAAAUGGCAUAUAUGAUGUGUCAACUAAGGAGAUGGCAUUGAAUAUCGUGUAUAUGAUGUAAAAACUAAGCAUUGCAAUACAACAUAUGCAUGAUAUGAGUAAUAUAGCCCCGCCAAGUUUGAGCAUACACCUCAGGGGGAUAAUAGGACUGGUCAUCUGCCUCUGAAUCCUCCCGUGAAGAGCUAUCUAUAACCAGCAACAUAUCUACUUCACCAGGUAGCAUUCUCUGCUCUAAAGACCUUGUUUUCACUCCAGAUUUCUCCAUCACCAAUUCAAAUGGCUGAUGCACAGGAAGAGCAGUUGAAUAUACAAACAUUGUCAACAAAAGCAAUGAGAAAUACAAAAAAAGGAUGGCAUGAUAUAAUUCACACAUAUGACGCUUGGCUAAACAACAUGGCAUUGCAUAAUUCACAUAUAUAAUGCCUUGCAACAAGAUAGCAUUGCAUAAUUCACAUAUAUAAUGUCUUGCAAAAAUAUGGCAUGGCAUAAUUCACACAUAUGGUAACUAGACACUAAACAGGUGGCAUUCCCACAAAUCAUGUCUAAACUAACCAAAUGACAUAGCAAUGCAAGAUACCAUACACACGAUAUGAGCAACAUAACCCUGCCAAGUUAGAGCAUGCACCUCAAGAGGGGGGGGGGAUAGGACCGGUCAUUUUUCUCUGAAUCCUCCUCUGAGGAGCUAUUUGUAACUAGCAAGACAUGCGCUUCGUUGGAUAGCAUUGUCUUCUCUGAAGACCUUGUUUCCACACCAUAUUUUUCCAUGACCAUGCCGAAUGGCUAAUGCACAGGAAGAGUAAUUGGAUGUACUCAAAUUGUUGACAAAUUUAACACGUAAUAAAAAAUGAUGUCAUGAUAUAAUUCACAUAUAAGAUGACUGGCUAACAAGGGUGGCAUUGCAAAAUUCACAUAUAUGAUGCCUAGAUAAACAAGAUGGCAUUGCAUGAUUCCUAUAUACGAUCAAGAAACUAAACAGAUGGCAUUGACACAAAGCAUGUCUAAACUAAGCAGAUGACAUCUUUUAUGUAUACAGUAAGCAAUGCAAGGCACCAUAUGCAUGAUAUUACCAACAUCAGCAUGCCAAGUUAGAGCGAAGACCUCAUGGGGUAAAUAGGUGUGGUCUUCUACUUCUGAAUCCCCCUCAGAACAGUUAUCUUCCUCUUGAUUACGAUCCGAAAUGGGUGGAGGGGGGCUGCCUUUGCUCCCACCAUGGAGCGAUGUCUGCAUGAAAUGUUAUUGCCACGCAAGGCUCGUCUCUUUUUCUCUCCAUGUUCAGUUCCAUUGUGUACAAUAACUGACAUGCAUAGGAAUAAAAGAUAGUGAUUGUGGGAGUCCUGGAUUAGGGGGUCUCCGGACAGCCGGACUAUAUCCUUUGGCCGGACUGUUAGACUAUGAAGAUACAAGAUUGAAGACUUCGUCUCAUGUCCGGAUGGGAUUCUACUUGGCGUGGAAGGCAAGCUAGGCAAUACAGAUAUGUACAUCUCCUCCUUUGUAACCGACCUUGUGUAACCCUAGCCCUUUCCGGUGUCUAAAUAAACUGGAGGGUUUUAGACCGUAGGACAACAUACAAUCAUACCAUAGGCUAGCUUCUAGGGUUUAGCCUCUCCGAUCUCGUGGUCGAUCAACUCUUGUAAUACUCAUAUCAUUAAGAAUAAAUCAAGCAGGACGUAGGGUUUUACCUCCAUCAAGAGGGCCCGAACCUGGGUAAAACAUCGUGUCCCCUGCCUCCUGUUACCAUCGGCCUUAGACGCACAGUUCGGGACCCCCUACCUGAGAUCCGCCGGUUUUGACACCGACAUUGGUGCUUUCAUUGAGAGUUCCUCUGUGUCGUCGCCGUUAGGCUUGAUGACUCCUACGAUCAUCGAUAGCGAUGCAGUCUAGGGUGAGACUUUUCUCCCCGGACAGAUCUUUGUGUUCGGCGGCUUCGCACUGCGGGCCAACUCGCAUGGCCAUCUGGAGCAGAUCGAAAGUUACGCCCCUGGCCACCAGGUCAGGUUUGUAAGCUUAAACUACACGUCCGACAUCCGUGGAGACUGGAUCUUCGACGGAUUCGAGCCCCUAGCUUGUGUGCCGCGCAGUCAUGAUGAGUAUGAUUUAGCUCUAUCAUCGGACCGUAUUCAGGAGAUCGCACCGGCAGCCGCCCCGAGCCUCAAUUCGGAGCUAGUCGCGCUAUCCAUGGACGGGUGGAUGGACCACGUCAUGGAGGCCGUACCCUCAGGGGUGAUCGAGCCAAAUAUCGACCUUACCCUUCAUGAGAGCCGUGUCGCCAAACUACCGGAUCCUUCUCCGGCCACGGACUCUGAACCGCCUGCGCCCGUGCCUAUCGAAUCCGAUUGGGCGCCGAUCAUGGAGUUUACCUCCGCGGAUAUUUUCCAGCACUCGCCCUUCGGCGACAUACUGAACUCAUUAAGGUCUCUCUCCUUGUCAGGAGAAUCCUGGCCGAACUAUGUCCGGCAGGAUUAGGAUGCGGAUGACGAAGAAAUUCGCCGCCCACCCACCACCCACUUAGUAGCCACUGUCGAUGACCUAACCGACACGCUCGACUUCGACUCCGAAGACUUCGACGGUAUGGACGACGAUGCAGGAGUCAAAGAGGAACCACUGCUCAUAGGGCACUGGACGCCCACUUCAUCACAUGACGUAUACAUGGUGGACACACCCAAAGAAAAUAAUGACAAGGAACGGAAGGACGCAGCGACGAGUGGUUCCCUCGAGCAGCAGUCAAAGCGGCGGCGUAAAUGUCGCCCCAAAUCCUGCCCCGGCAGAAAUAACGAUCACAUAGACCCUGCAUUAGAGUAGGGUGAACAAUUGCCCGACCACGGUAACACGGAAAAUCAAGCCGAACAACCCAACCCCGUCGAAGAUAACAGUCCGGACGACAUCACACCAGACAUGCGCCAGGAGCAACGUAAUGCCCACCAAAGGCUUGUUGCCACGGCGAGGAGUCUGAAAAAAUAGAAGCAAAGGCUCAAGGAUGCACAAGACACACUCAAAAUAAAAUGGAAUGAAGUACUCAACACAGCAGCGAAGUACGACAGUAAUCGCCACACCAAGAGCUACCUGAAGCGGAAGUUGCUACCUGAAUUCGAUGAGGAGGCCUUAGAUCCCCUGCAACCAAAAAUUAAAAUGGCCAUCCGGCCGGAUAGACGACCUCACGGUCAACAUAAAGCGGCGAACAACGCCACACAUAAGGCAAUGCACGACCCACGCGAGGACUCGCAUCAAAAGGACGGCGCAACGAGAUCCAUUUAUGGACCACGCAAGCGCGCUCCAGCAUACGAUGCAAUACAACAAACAUCCGAACACCACGAUACACCCAGAUACAGGGGUGCCGCACACCCCCUAUGUUUCACCGAUGAGGUGCUGGACCAUGAAUUUCCAGAGAGAUUCAAACCCGUAAACAUAGAGGCAUACGACGGAACAACCAACCCUGGGGUCUGGAUUGAGGACUAUAUCCUCCAUAUCCAUAUGGCUCGAGGGGAUGAUCUCCACGCGAUCAAGUACUUACGCCUCAAGCUCAAAGGGCCAGCUCGGCACUGGCUUAAAAGCCUCCCCGAAAGCUCCAUUGGAAGCUGGGAAGAGCUCGAAGUACCAUCUCUGUAGCGACCAGACCCGAAUGGAUCAAGUCUACUGUGCUCCGGUGUCAUCCCUGGAUCAGUAAUGCUGACACCACACAGUACAUCGAAGGAUUUAUAGCAGAGUGGCAAUCACACACUUAUUACAUCGAUGUCUCCGAAGAGAACUUAUUACAACAAUAUGGCUUAAGGCCAUCUAAUAUCGAUAACAGUGGAAGACUUGGAAGAUAAAAGGGUCCAUCAACUCCAACGGCAUCACUGAAUAUAGAACCACGACCUAAAAGCACCUUAAUCGUCAUCUGAAAAGUCUGCAACAUUAAUGUUGCAGCCCGAAACGGGUCAGCACAUGGAAUAUGCUGGCAAUGUAACACAUAGAGAAUGAUGGAAUGAAACAGCUAUACUAUAUGCAUAUUUGGCUGGUGGAAAGCUCUAUGGUUACAGUUUUGCGUAAAGCCAGUUUCUCCCUACUGCAAAGGAAUAAAUUUACUAACUAUCAUGGUGGUUGUUAAACAUUGAGAAUGGUUGACAGCAUUCUCAAUCCCAAUUAAAAGUAAUCAUUAAUAACCCAACAAUAUUAAUUUAGAAGUAACAUGUUGAGAUUCACAUGAUAUUCAAGUACUAGAUACUCAAGUUGUCCAUAACCGGGGACACCGCUAAUCAUGAUUAGUUUAUUACAGUCUGCAGAGGUUUGCGCACUUUUCCCCACAAGACUCGAUCGCCUCCGUUGGAUUUCUCGCACUACUGGUGUUUGAGAAAUGGAUGACCGAGACAUAGUCUUUCAGAAGCGCUAGCACCUUACGAUGGAUAGACCGGUACACCUACUUUCCCCUACAUCUGCUAGUCUACCCUGUAAGAGUUCGCACGACUUAGUCAACUAUGCCAGAGCCCAUAUUGGCUUGUGGCUGCACACGUAAGUAUUUAGCAUGAAAGAUCUUAUGAUCCCUUUGAGCCUGGGUGGCGGUCCAAAAUAAAACAGGCAAGUCCAGAUAGACAUCACGUGCCUCAAUCCACCCAGAUGUGUGUUUAAGUUGCCACAUUAGAUAAACCCUUAAAAUUAUCACACUCACAUCUGUCAUGGAUAUCACUCACCCAAUCCACGUCUACUAGCAUAGCAUGGCAUAAUAAGCAAACGUAGAAGUAACUCCCAAAGGUUUCAUAAUAAACAGGUAAUAGGUACUACCUCAUCUACUUCCCAUCCCACAAUUUAAUUAGAUCCUAAUCAUGCAAUGUGUGAGGAUGGAUCUAAUGCAAUAAAACUGGGUUGUAGAAAAGGUAUGAUCAAAGUGUUACUUGCCUUGCUGAUGAUCCGCGAGUCCUAGAGAUUCGAAGUAACAGGCGGCGCAAUCCGGGUAAUCUAUCGCAGACAAACAACAAGCAUACAAAAGUACUCAUCUAAUGCAUAGGUAAAACUCGAACAAGAGAUCGAACCAGAUAGUUCAACUUAAGAACUCCGGUUGCAAAGAGAGAAAGAACCGAACAAAGAAACCGAAAACAAACGGCGGAAAACAACUCGGUUCUAGCAAGUUGAAACUAGGUCAAAUUUUACCAUAGCAAAAACUUGUUUAAGUUGAUUAGUCGGAACGGCGGUUUCGAAACGAAACUCCAGGCGCUUGAAUUACCUGAUUCCGAUAAACGAGCGAGAAGAUAGACUAGAACGAAGAUCGGAUCUGAGAUCGCGAUCGCGGAAUAAAUCCGACAAAAAGAAAAAGAAGAACGGUUAAACGAACGGACGUUCGUU